Molecule: ribosomal RNA, 305 nt
Filed under: uncultured bacterium
Lineage: Bacteria
Description: bacterial SSU rRNA
Rfam family: Bacterial small subunit ribosomal RNA
Source: RNAcentral
UAUCGCCUACGGGGGGCAGCAGUAGGGAAUCUUCCACAAUGGGCGAAAGCCCGAUGGAGCAACGCCGCGUGGGUGAAGAAGUAUUUCGGUAUGUAAAGCUCUAUCAGCAGGGAAGAAGAUGACGGUACCUGAGUAAGAAGCCCCGGCUAACUACGUGCCAGCAGCCGCGGUAAUACGUAGGGGGCAAGCGUUAUCCGGAUUUACUGGGUGUAAAGGGAGCGUAGACGGUGAGACAAGUCUGAAGUGAAAGCCCGGGGCUCAACCCCGGGACUGCUUUGGAAACUGCCUGACUGGAGUGCUGGAGA